Molecule: ribosomal RNA, 495 nt
Filed under: uncultured bacterium
Lineage: Bacteria
Description: partial 16S ribosomal RNA
Rfam family: Bacterial small subunit ribosomal RNA
Source: RNAcentral
GACGAACGCUGGCGGCGUGCCUAAUACAUGCAAGUAGAACGCUGAAGGAGGAGCUUGCUUCUCUGGAUGAGUUGCGAACGGGUGAGUAACGCGUAGGUAACCUGCCUGGUAGCGGGGGAUAACUAUUGGAAACGAUAGCUAAUACCGCAUAAGAGUAGAUGUCGCAUGACAUUUGCUUAAAAGGUGCAAUUGCAUCACUACCAGAUGGACCUGCGUUGUAUUAGCUAGUUGGUGAGGUAACGGCUCACCAAGGCAACGAUACAUAGCCGACCUGAGAGGGUGAUCGGCCACACUGGGACUGAGACACGGCCCAGACUCCUACGGGAGGCAGCAGUAGGGAAUCUUCGGCAAUGGACGGAAGUCUGACCGAGCAACGCCGCGUGAGGGAAGAAGGUUUUCGGAUCGUAAAGCUCGGUUGUAAGAGAAGAACGAGUGUGAGAGUGGAAAGUUCACACUGUGACGGUAUCUUACCAGAAAGGGACGGCUAACUACGUG